GUUUUUNNNNNNNCUCAGGACGAACGCUGGCGGCGUGCCUAAUACAUGCAAGUCGAACGAACUCUGGUAUUGAUUGGUGCUUGCAUCAUGAUUUACAUUUGAGUGAGUGGCGAACUGGUGAGUAACACGUGGGAAACCUGCCCAGAAGCGGGGGAUAACACCUGGAAACAGAUGCUAAUACCGCAUAACAACUUGGACCGCAUGGUCCGAGCUUGAAAGAUGGCUUCGGCUAUCACUUUUGGAUGGUCCCGCGGCGUAUUAGCUAGAUGGUGGGGUAACGGCUCACCAUGGCAAUGAUACGUAGCCGACCUGAGAGGGUAAUCGGCCACAUUGGGACUGAGACACGGCCCAAACUCCUACGGGAGGCAGCAGUAGGGAAUCUUCCACAAUGGACGAAAGUCUGAUGGAGCAACGCCGCGUGAGUGAAGAAGGGUUUCGGCUCGUAAAACUCUGUUGUUAAAGAAGAACAUAUCUGAGAGUAACUGUUCAGGUAUUGACGGUAUUUAACCAGAAAGCCACGGCUAACUACGUGCCAGCAGCCGCGGUAAUACGUAGGUGGCAAGCGUUGUCCGGAUUUAUUGGGCGUAAAGCGAGCGCAGGCGGUUUUUUAAGUCUGAUGUGAAAGCCUUCGGCUCAACCGAAGAAGUGCAUCGGAAACUGGGAAACUUGAGUGCAGAAGAGGACAGUGGAACUCCAUGUGUAGCGGUGAAAUGCGUAGAUAUAUGGAAGAACACCAGUGGCGAAGGCGGCUGUCUGGUCUGUAACUGACGCUGAGCUCG
This 779-nucleotide ribosomal RNA is filed under the name Lactiplantibacillus plantarum. Its description in RNAcentral is "bacterial SSU rRNA". It matches the Rfam family "Bacterial small subunit ribosomal RNA", at positions 1 to 755 of the family's 1533-position model. The record is from RNAcentral. Lineage: Bacteria; Bacillati; Bacillota; Bacilli; Lactobacillales; Lactobacillaceae.